Homo sapiens (human) is the source of this 835-nucleotide long non-coding RNA. RefSeq lists it as uncharacterized. NCBI's taxonomy places the organism in Eukaryota, Metazoa, Chordata, Mammalia, Primates, Hominidae. The transcript has 3 exons. The record is from RefSeq and is a predicted model, not a curated record.
GUCACACACACACAAAAAAAUGGUAGCUCCUGAGCCAACACUUUUCCGCUCCCCCACCCGCUGCGUCUCAGCAUUCCUUAGGCUCUCCCCUUGGGAGACUCACAUGUAUGGGGCGGGGGAGCGGGGGUUUCCUAGGCCCUGACUCAGCUAGAGCGUCUGGCUGACCCGUCAUUGUCCAGGGAAGCCAUGGAUCUGGUGGCCGCAGCCCAGCGCCGUCCUCACCACCCAGGCCUGCCUGGAGCCCAGUGGCUGUCAGGGCAGCCGAGACCAGAAGCGCAGGUGGAGCCAAGGCCCCGCUGCAGUCCGCAGAGUUGCAACUCUGGGAGCUGAGCCCUCACAAGCCUUGCUUUUCACCUCCUCCCAGUGCUACCAGCCAGACCCCGAGGGCCCGGGACCCUCCAUGUACCCAUCCACACUUCUCGGCCCACCCCUCCCUGACAGCCCCGGCACCCCGGGAGGGAGCAGGUGCGUCCCGCUUCGGGCCCUCUGAACCCCCUCCAUUUCGGGCUGUUUCAGACUUCGGCCUCUCUGAAGCUCCUCCAUUUCUGGCUGCUUUUCACUGCCGUCUGCCUGCCUGUGUUCUUGUCUUCACGCCGGCCUUUGGAGAGGCUCUGCAUUGAACGACCUUGCACUGGGCCGGUUUCUUUUCUAAAGGACUGCAGUGUGAGAAGGCAGCACCGCCCCGGCGCCCGCGAGGAAGCCGAACUGCUCAUAAGUUAAGCAGCCCCAGCCAGGUCACGGGGCAAGGAAGCCGCCUGCGACCUCGGAAACCCCUGGUUCAUCCCAUGACCCACCCCCGUUCAUCCGGUGACCCACCCCUCACCCCGGUUCAUCC